AGUUGAAGUAUCUCCGCAUGGACAGUACCUAAUAUCGCUUCUUUCUGGCAGAAGAAAUGUUAUUAAGUCAUCGUUUAGACUACUUUGGAUACCUUUCAUUCUCGGUCAUAUUCGAUGUGGGCCAUUCCCUUACCCUGUCUGAUGUAUGGCGUGAAGCUGUAGAAAAUCAUGAAAAAGGGUUAAGCUGCAAGGCUAGUGAUACCAAAUGAAGUAUUUUUGUUCAUUGAAGUGCAGUAAGAAAGAAAACAGUUAUUUUGUGGGAUUUGAACCUAUAUUUGUCAUGAAAAUAAGUUUUUCAAGCAGUCAUUGUAUCAUCCUUGAACUUGUUUAUAUUUUUAAUAUUUUAUUGUAAACAUUUUAUAUAAAUAUUUUUCCAUUCCAUA
RNAcentral lists this unclassified non-coding RNA (383 nucleotides) under Stegodyphus dumicola. RNAcentral's name for it is "uncharacterized LOC118179682, transcript variant X2". Lineage: Eukaryota; Metazoa; Arthropoda; Arachnida; Araneae; Eresidae. The record is from RNAcentral.